UCCUACGGGAGGCAGCAGUGGGGAAUCUUAGACAAUGGGCGCAAGCCUGAUCUAGCCAUGCCGCGUGAGUGACGAAGGUCUUAGGAUCGUAAAGCUCUUUCGCCUGUGAAGAUAAUGACUGUAGCAGGUAAAGAAACCCCGGCUAACUCCGUGCCAGCAGCCGCGGUAAUACGGAGGGGGUUAGCGUUGUUCGGAAUUACUGGGCGUAAAGCGCACGUAGGCGGAUCAGAAAGUUGGGGGUGAAAUCCCGGGGCUCAACCCCGGAACUGCCUCCAAAACUCCUGGUCUUGAGUUCGAGAGAGGUAAGUGGAAUUCCGAGUGUAGAGGUGAAAUUCGUAGAUAUUCGGAGGAACACCAGUGGCGAAGGCGACUUACUGGCUCGAUACUGACGCUGAGGUGCGAAAGUGUGGGGAGCAAACAGGAUUAGAUACCCUGGUAGUCCACACCGUAAACGAUGAAUGCCAGACGUCGGCAAGCAUGCUUGUCGGUGUCACACCUAACGGAUUAAGCAUUCCGCCUGGGGAGUACGGUCGCAAGAUUAAAACUCAAAUGAAUUGACGG
This 561-nucleotide ribosomal RNA is filed under the name uncultured bacterium. Its description in RNAcentral is "bacterial SSU rRNA". It matches the Rfam family "Bacterial small subunit ribosomal RNA", at positions 337 to 916 of the family's 1533-position model. The record is from RNAcentral.